Molecule: long non-coding RNA, 541 nt
Organism: Peromyscus eremicus (cactus mouse)
Lineage: Eukaryota; Metazoa; Chordata; Mammalia; Rodentia; Cricetidae
Exons: 2
Source: RefSeq, a predicted model, not a curated record
UGGAAGGGCAGCCAGUAGUCUUAACACUAAGCCAUCUCUCCAGCCCCUGAGUGCUGUGGGAUGGCCUUUCUGUAUGCUGUGAAUAUGUGUUGGUCCCAUUGGCUGAUAAAUAAAGCUGCUUUGGCCUGUGGGAAGACAGGAUAAGAUCCAAGCAGGAAAUCCAAGUAGAGAUACAGGGAGAAGGGCAAAGUCGGAGAAAUGCCAGUGACCUGCCCAAGAAGCAAGAUGUAAAAGUACUGGUGAUGACAUUCAAAAAAGAAGAAUCAAAACCAAAUGGAGUGUGCAUUUCAGAACCAUUCAGAUAUGACCUCGGAGGACCUCACACCUUCCUUGAAGUCGGCUCUUCCUGGCUCCUUACAGACCAACCUUUGAAAUGAAGCUUUGCCCCAGAUGCAAUCGCUUUAUUGAAAAGCUGCUGAAGGCUCAAGAGGGAGCGGAGUUGCAGGAUAAGCCCUGAGGCCCCGGGGUGGGCAGGGAUUAUGAAAGAGAAACUUCGUGAUGUGCUUAGCAAUGGAAAAUAUAAUCAAUCUGCCAGAACAGA